This 29-nucleotide non-coding RNA is filed under the name Mus musculus (house mouse). Lineage: Eukaryota; Metazoa; Chordata; Mammalia; Rodentia; Muridae. The record is from RNAcentral.
UCUCAAUUAGGACGAAGGGANCUAAGUGC